CCCGCAGUUAAAAAUAAAAAUCGACGUGUCCGAGCGUUUUUUUUUUGAACAUACCCCUGAAUUUUAAAUGAAUUUAUUCCGGACUUUUGGCUCUUACUGUAUAUGGAUCAGCAGCGCUUUAAUACCAAAGAGUACUACUAUAGCAUUGAAAAACUUAAUAAUAGGUGAGAAAAUACUUAAUUCAUGGGGCAUAUUAGAGCAAUUUGUGCAGAGAUUUUAGUCCAUCUCCACAUGGGAUCUCAAAGACUAGUGCCCAACUUACCAGCAACAACCAGAAAUUAGAAGCAAUCAUUCCUGGAAGUUUUACCACAAUAAAUUUAUUACCAUGCCUUAAUAACUCGAAAUAUAUAAUGGAUAAAGAAAAUCCCACAGACAUUCUUUAUCUGGACUUUGAGAAAGUCUUUGGCAAGAUUCCUCAUAGACUUUUACUCAAGCUUGAGCAUUAUGAUGUAAAGGGUAACUUGUUGAUGUUUAUUCAAUGUUUUCUCUCAGACAGGAACUUCCGAGUAAGAAUGAAGGCAGAGAAUGACAGUGUAUGGAGUGGAGUGCUCCAGGGCUCAGUGCUGGGACUUCUGCGAUUUUUGGUGUAUUUGUGAUCUUGCCCAGAACAUAAAAAUUAACAAAUCGUUUUUUGCACAUGCAAAGCAAUUGAUUUGUAAAAUGAUCUGCAAGAAAAUUUAAGCUGGUCAGACCUUUAGGGAAUGAAAAAUAUUUACCACCCUCAAUAUAAGCAACAACAGCCCAGCCAAUGUAUUUAAUAUACAGUAGUCUCGAUAACGUGAACGUCCCAUAACGUGAACAUCCCCACACGUGAACAGCCUAAUUGGUAUUCAGCCUAUUCUAAAACGUGAACGCCAAAAAUAUCUCGCCUCUAUAACGUGAACAAAAAAAUAUUUAUAUCGUUUUACCGUUUUACCCGUAUUAGCGGCAUUUCCUAUGUUCCCUUUGUUGGCAACUUUAGUACUAACUUAGUGCUUUUGCAUAUCGCCGCCAAAUUGUAUAUCUUGUUUGUACAUGUUUGAAGAGAUAUGAAAUGUGCGUCUUAUUCAGUGUUUGUUCGCCUAUCAAUACGAAACAAGCACGAUGUCUACUAAGAAAGUAAAUUAUUUAACUCUGGAAAAAAAAGCCCAACUCUUGUCCGAUGUCAGUAGAGGUUGCGGAGUUACCUUUUUAGCAAAAAAGUAUGGAAUAACCAAAUCCACGGUGUGUGCAAUUAAGAAGAAAAAAGACCAAAUUACUUGCCUUGACUUUUUCUGGACCAGGUAAACGAAAAUCUCUUAGACCUUCUGAAUAUCCAUUAAUGGAAAAAGCUUUGUAUAAGUGGUUUUUGCGACAACGAGAGAGGAAUGCACCAAUAAGUGGUUUAAUUUUAAAAGAGAAAACCAAAUAUUUUCACGAAAAACUGUACGACAAAAAUUCCACUUUUUCUGCGAGCUUGGGGUGGUUGCAAAAGUUCAAGAAAAGAUUUGGCAUACGCUUCCUAACAAUAACUGGUGAAAAACUAUCUUCACAGCCCGAACUGGUUUCACCAUUCUUACGUAAACUUAAAGAAAAAAUCAAGGACCUAAAAUUAGACUAUAUAAGUGUACAACGCCGAUGAAACCGGCUUGUACUGGAACUUGGAAGCUUUUACCCGGAAAGAGUUACGUAUCCAGUGAAGAAAAAACUGCCCCUGGAAGAAAAACAGCCAAAGAAAGAAUAACGUUUCUAGCAUGUACAAAUGCGACUGGACUACAUAAAUUGACUCCUUUGGUAAUAGGGAAAGCUAAAAAAUCACGAAGUUUUAAGAACUCUUACAUUCCUGUACACUACAAAAACUCACAAUCUGCAUGGAUGACAGCCGGAAUUUUCAAGGAAUGGUUUAAAGAAAUUUUUGUUCCUGAGGUGAGAAAGUUUCUUAAGAAACAAGGUCUUCCAGAGAAAGCACUUCUUUUAUUGGAUAAUGCCCCCAGUCAUCCCCCAGUAGAGGAACUUUUAUCUGAUAAUGAACUAAUUCAAGUUAUGUAUAUGCCUCUCAAUGUGACACCCUUAAUUCAACCUAUGGACCAAAACGUUAUUGGGUUGACUAAACUGCAUUAUCGCUCCAUGUUUUUGGCAAUGGUUGUAGCUAAUAAAUCUAAGGACAUGAAUGUCAUUAUGAAACAAUACAACCUCAGGGAUGCUAUUUUAAACUUAUCACGAGCAUGAAAUAAAUUAGAACCAGCAACCAUUAAAAAGUGUUGGAAAAAUAUUUUCAAAAGCCAAAGCAAUGAUGAUCGUGAAGACACAAUACCCUUGGCAACUCUUCGUCAAGAAUUGCUAAGCACUGUAGAGACUAACCUCAAUUUAUUAGAAGAAAUUGAUCCAGGGCAAGAUUUCAAACAUGGAGAUAUCGAAGAAUGGAAUAAAGAUGACUUCGUUGAACAUGAUGAGAAUUGUACUGCAGUGUCUAAUUAUUCAGAAACCGACAGGAUCAAGAUCCAGAGGUUUCUCAGGCUAUGGAUAAAGUCACUCAUAUUGAGGCAGUUCGUAUAUUUAACAGAGGUCUAGAAUGGGCAGAAGCAAAACAAUGCAGACUUUGAAGAUAUUCAGUCUUUACACAAAUUACGUGAAUGUGCAACUAUUCUUUCAAACCAUCAAACAAAGUUAGAUAACUUUUUUCUAAAAACAACAGAUUAAAUAUAAAUAAUGUACAUUGUACUUACUUACAUACAUAUACUUACCUAUAUAAUAAAUAUUUUUAUCUUUAUACCAUGUAUAAACAUAUACAACAUAUACAUUUUCAACUAUGUAUUACUAACUGUAUAACAUGUUUUUGUUUGAUUUUCCAAUAAAAUAUAUAUUCAAAGUACAUA
RNAcentral lists this long non-coding RNA (2834 nucleotides) under Anthonomus grandis grandis. RNAcentral describes it as "uncharacterized LOC126750699". The record is from RNAcentral. Lineage: Eukaryota; Metazoa; Arthropoda; Insecta; Coleoptera; Curculionidae.